AAUUUGUUUAAAAAAGUGAGAUUGGCUUCCCCCAAGUGUCUGAAAAACUCUUUUGGUUUUACUUUAUAAAUUGAGAACUGAAGUGCUUGUCAAGGUGUUGGCAUUUGCUUUAAUGUAUUUUUGGUGAGGUUUUGGUUCAGUGCUGUUAUUGGAGCUGCUGUUGGCUGAACAGGAGCUCCUGAUUCCCCUGUAAGGACAUGGCUUGGUUCACUGCUUCUCACAGCUUGUAGAGUAGAUGGAAUUCCAGUGGGACCUCCUAGAUGGCUUGUGGUGCUCCCUAAAGGAGCAUUUCUGUCUGCUGUGAUGGUUCUGGUCCCCUAUGGGCUGGUGUGAGAAGCUGAGGGUUUGCAGCAGCAGGUUUGGAAUGAUGUUCCUGCGGCACAGACAUCUCUCCCUGGCAGGUUGUGGGGUUUGAGGCUUCGGAUAACAGUAACAAAGCACUGACAGGGUCUUCUUAGUUGUGCAGGGAGCAAAAUCCUUCACUGGAAAUCCAAUCCGGGGAUGAUGUGGCUUCAGAAAGAGCUCUGUGACCUUUUCCAUGCCCUGUGCUGCACAAGAGGCCCUGGGACUCAAGAAGAUCCAUUGCUUGUUCUGAGGGGACAGUGAACUGCUACAACGUGCAACGAACAGAGGAAGUUGGAUGUGAAGAUUUGGGUCAAUCUGGAAAGUUCCUUGUGCCUUAAGAAUCAUGGCAAGUGUAGCACUAAAAACUCCAAAUUAGGAAUAAUCCAAAGAUGAACCAGUUCUCAACAAACUCAGCUUUCAAAAUUAUUUUUCAAGAUAAAACAAGAUUGAAAUGAGCUUGGUGGGAAAGCCCCUGUGAGGCAAAUCACCAUGAAAAUACCUGUGAGCAGAAACAUGAGGGAAUUCCUGCUGCUCCUGAUGUCCUGCUCUUUUCAGGACAGGACAAAUCAUUUCAUUCGACCCAGCCACGCCUAAACCUGUGGUUUUGUCUGGGUUUGAGCAGCCAAACCCAAAAGCCUCAUGCCCUGGAAGCACACCUGGUCCUGCACAUGCUGUGGGGUCAGAUUUCCCUCAGCUCUGGGCAGGGACCAUGCCAAAGAUCAGAGUCAGGGCCAAAUUUAAGACUGAUCCAGGUAAGGUCAGCGUUUACCUGUAGGUGUGAAAGUUUUGGGGGUAAAAUCUGGGAUAAUUGGUAGCAGAGCAAAUGUACAUUUAUAGGUAAAUUGAGGAAGUCAGUAAAAGGUGAGGAAUGUUUGUGGUGGGAAGCUGGAGGAGAUCUCAGGUAGAGAAGAGCCAGAUGGCCUUUUUGAGGAAAAUGAUUGUCAGUAAAAUCUGAGGUAACACUUAAGGGAAGGCAUGAACAUUUUGAGGUCAGUCCAGGUAAUCAGCAGUGUCCAGGUAGGGGAGUUUGUGGGUUUGCUCUCAAGUAAGGUACAGUGAAUACUUGGGAGGUUAAAGCCUAGGUACAAUCUCUGAUUACAGCUAUUCCCUGAUGUCAUUUCACCUGCCUGAAUUCUUUGCAGCUCCCAGCUGGGAAAACCUGGCAUAACUUAGAGGGGACAGAGGUGACAUUCUUUUGGCUGAGAACCUGCUAUAAUUUAGAGGGGACCCAACAUGUGUUUGUGUAGGAAAAUGUGAGGGGAUGUGGAGGGGAGCGAGUGGCAUUUUGAGGGAAUAGCUGUGGGGAGAGAACACUCAUUUUGGGGUGAAAUGAGGAAAUCAGUAGUGUACAGGAAAGAAAAUCUGGGAGGUAAAACAUGGGAUAACCUUGAGGGUAGAGAGUGAUUGAUUUAUUGUAAAAAUUGAGGCAAUGAGUAAGGAAGGGAAAUUUAUGUGGGAUAAGCUUGAGGUGCUUUCUGGGGGAGAGAAUGAGUAUUUAGAGGGAAAGACAAUGUAAUCAUCAGUGUCACAGAGGGAAUCAUUUGUGAGUGAACUUGAGGUGCUCUAUAUUGACAGAGAGUGGAGAUUUUGAGGGGAAAAUGAGCUCAUCAGAAGUGGACAGAGGGAAUAUUUUGGGGGUAAAAUCUGGGGCAAUCCCUAGGGGAGAGAAUGAGCAUCUCAAGGUAAAUGGAGGUAAUAAGUAGCACAAAGGUAGUGAUAUGCUGGAGGGUCAAACUUGAAAUCAUUUCUAGGGUAGAGAAUAAAUAUUUUGAGGUAAAACUGAGGUAAAUCAAAAGUGGAGGCAGGUAGGGAAAACCUUGGUGAGAUUUGUGAUAACCUCUAGCAGAGUAAAUGAAAAUUUGGAGUUAAAAGUUAGGUAAUCAGUAGCACACAUGAGGGAAAUACUUGUGGCUAAAAACUGAGAUAAGCUCCAGGGUAGAGAAUGAACAUUUUGAGGUAAACAGAUGGAAUAAGUAGUGGACAGGCACAGAAAAUUUUAGGGGUCAAAUUGAGGUAAUGUGUAGAGGAGAAAAAACAACAUUUUGAGGUAAAUAUGGAGUAAAAAAUACUGGACAGGUAGGGAAAAUUUGAGGGGAAAACACUGAGGUAAUCUGGAGUGGUACACAGGUAGAGGGAAUCGGUGGGGGGAAAGUAGAAGUAAUCUAUAGGGAAAAAAAAUGAAUGUUUAGGAGUUCAAAUGUGAGUUAACUCAUAGAGGAGAGACUGAAAAUCCCGAGGUAAAAAUGAGGUGGUCAUUAGCAGAUGGGCAUGGAAAAAUUUGGGAUUAAAACUUGAGGUUGUGUGGGGAGAGAAGGAGCAUUGUGAGGUAAAAUGAGGUAGUGAAUAGUAACAGGUAGGAAAAAUUUUGGGUGCUGAAUCUGUAAAGAAAGAAAAGGUUGAGGCAAACUGAGGUAAUCAGUAGUGUGCUGGUAAGGUGAAGUUUUAGCUUUAAAAUUUGACAUCAUCUGUAAGGAACAAAGAACAUUUGGGGGAAUUACCUGAAGUAAUCUGUAAGGGACAGAAGGAAUAUUUUAGGGAUUAGAUAAGUAGUGGGGGGGGU
Non-coding RNA from Cyanistes caeruleus (blue tit), 2905 nucleotides. The record is from RefSeq and is a predicted model, not a curated record. NCBI's taxonomy places the organism in Eukaryota, Metazoa, Chordata, Aves, Passeriformes, Paridae.